Molecule: ribosomal RNA, 253 nt
Filed under: uncultured bacterium
Lineage: Bacteria
Description: partial 16S ribosomal RNA
Rfam family: Bacterial small subunit ribosomal RNA
Source: RNAcentral
CACGUAGGGCGCGAGCGUUGUCCGGAAUUAUUGGGCGUAAAGAGCUCGUAGGCGGCCUGUUGCGUCCGCUGUGAAAGCCCGGGGCUUAACCCCGGGUCGGCAGUGGAUACGGGCAGGCUAGAGGUAGGUAGGGGAGAAUGGAAUUCCCGGUGUAGCGGUGAAAUGCGCAGAUAUCGGGAGGAACACCGGUGGCGAAGGCGGUUCUCUGGCCUGCAACUGACGCUGAGGCGCGAAAGCUGGGGGAGCAAACAGG